This 1515-nucleotide ribosomal RNA is filed under the name Triticum aestivum (bread wheat). RNAcentral describes it as "partial small subunit ribosomal RNA". The record is from RNAcentral. Lineage: Eukaryota; Viridiplantae; Streptophyta; Magnoliopsida; Poales; Poaceae.
AUGGCCGCGCCGCAGCCUCGCCGCCACCAGGCCGCCUUCCUCCGCAGCAAGCCCCCUGCCCCCGCCAAUGGGAAUCGAGCCGCCGCCGCCUCCUGCAAGCCCAAGUCGCCCGCCACCCGAUUGAUGCGUAGGUCGCUGGAGGAGAGGACGGUGAAGCAGCUCAGGCUGACCAAGGCGCUGACUCUCCCGGAGGCCACCGCGGUGUCCGAGGCGUGCAGGAGGAUGGCCGCCAGGCGCGCCGACGCCGCGCUGCUCACCGACGCCAAAGGGGUGCUCUCCGGCAUCGUCACGGCCGAGGACAUAUCGGGUCGAGUGAUAGCCGAGGGUCUAAUUCCCAACACGACGAGUGUGUCCAAGGUGAUGACGCGGAACCCAGUUUUUGUCAUGUCCAACUCGUCGGCCACCGAGGCACUGCAGAAGAUGGUCCAAGGCAAAUUUCGGCAUCUUCCUGUAGUGGAGCAUGGUGAGGUCAUUGCCAUGUUGGAUAUUACCAAGUUCCUCUAUGAUGCGAUUUCUAGAAUGGAAAAGGCAGCAGAACAAGGUAGUGCUAUUGCCGCUGCUAUGGAAAGGGUCGAACGGCAGUGGGGAAAUGAAUUUGCAGGUCCGCACACGUUAAUAGAAAAUCUUCGAGACCACAUGUUCAAGCCUUCCUUAUCAACUAUCAUAACUGAAAAUAGCAGUGUUGCAUCGGUAUCUCCUUCAGAUCUGGUAAUUGUAGCUGCCAAAAAGAUGAGAGAGUACCGAGUUAACUCAGUGGUUGUCAUGACAGGGAACAUGCUGCAAGGCAUUCUCACUUCCAAGGAUUUGGUUUUGCGAGUAGUGGCACAAAAUCUGUCCCCAGAGGUGACUCUAGUAGAAAAGGUCAUGACUGCAAGUCCUGAUUGUGCUACAUUGGACACAUCAAUCCUCGAGGCUCUACAAUCAAUGCAAGAUAGAAAAUCUCGUCAUAUUCUUGUUGCGGACAAAAGAGGACAGAUUGUCUCCUGUUUGGACGCUCUACAGUUAACCCAAACAGCCAUCUCCAUGGUCGAGGGAGCCUCUGGACCAAACGAUGUGGCAAAUACCAUGGUUCAGAAGUUUUGGGAUUCAGCACUUGCCUUGCAUCCUUCAGAGGAGAAUGACUGGCAUAGUGACGAAUUUCGUACGGCAGCCUCAGAUAGUGCUGAAGGGAAGCAAACACCCCCUCAUGUUGGCAAUGCAUUCUCUUUCAAAAUUGAAGAUAAAGGGCGGAUGCACAGAUUCAGUUGCGUUUCAGAAAGCUUAGAUGAGCUUGUGUCUGCUAUUGCAUACAUAUUAGGAACAGAAAACAAGAAGGCAAAUGUAAAUCUUCUGUAUGAUGAUGAUGAAGGUGACAGAGUUCUUCUGGCUACCGAUGGUGAUCUCGUUGCAGCGAUUGAGCAUGCCAGAUCAGCUGGAUGGAAGGUUCUUAGGCUGCACAUGGACGACGCUGCAGGGACCGGCGCAGAGUCCACACAGAUGUCGUCUGUAGAUACUUCGAUGUCGAGGAGAUGCUAG